AAAAAAGGUCAAGAGAGAAGAGCAGAAAAAAGGAAAAAGCUUCUGCAGAAAGGGGGAGAAAAGAGAAGUACAGAGAGAAAGUGACGUGAGAGGAGACAGGAGGAGAGAGAAAGAAAUAAAAAAGGAAGAAGAACUGUUCUUCUUCCCCGGUGGGUUCGACUGCCGCCCGCGCUGCUGCCCUCUGGACGCCGCCGCUUCGCCACACCGACGCCGCCGAUCUCGCUCAUUGACACCCCCCGAAAGCCCGACGCCGCUGUGCCACCGCGAGCACCGUUGCCGCACCUUGCCGCCGACGCAGCAACCCCUCGACGCCGCUGCCGCGCGCCUCCGACGCCCACCGCCGCGCCUCUGCACCCGCGAACCGCCUGUUGCCCGCUGGUCACGGCGUCGCUGUCCUGACGCCGACCCGUG
Molecule: long non-coding RNA, 411 nt
Filed under: Eucalyptus grandis
Lineage: Eukaryota; Viridiplantae; Streptophyta; Magnoliopsida; Myrtales; Myrtaceae
Description: long non-coding RNA (EGRA_LNC007611)
Source: RNAcentral